This 2264-nucleotide unclassified non-coding RNA is filed under the name Homo sapiens (human). Its description in RNAcentral is "abhydrolase domain containing 16A, phospholipase (ENSG00000231488.9, ENSG00000235676.9, ENSG00000236063.9)". Lineage: Eukaryota; Metazoa; Chordata; Mammalia; Primates; Hominidae. The record is from RNAcentral.
CAUAAUGGGAAAUAAGGGGAGCCUGCUUGUCAAGCCAGUUAUCCGCAAAAUCUGCGCUCUGUGUGCUUCCUGAGUUAAAGUCACGCCUACGGACUGGCCGCCUCCUUUCUUUUUCGCUCUUUACCGCUUUCUCAUUCCGACUGCCACUCUUUGUUCUUUCCUCUCCGCGUCCCCCCGACCCUGUGUGUCGUGGUUCGUGCCGGUCCCAGUUGAGUCUUGAGUCCCGGGAAGAGACCCUGCGCGGACUGGGGAGCCGUUGAAUUUUGCUGUCAGACUCCCAGUUUCCUCUUCUUCAGUGCCUCUUCAUGCCUCCCCCGGCUCUGUUUUUAUCUUCCCUUUACCCUCGCCUUGAAUUUCAGAAUGACUUUUACAGAUCCUGUAUCCGUCGGUCCUCCCCUCAACCCCCGCCCAACCUAGCCUGGAGACCCGAGUCAUUGUAUUCUGGAGAGCUGGCGGGUGGUGGAUACGUACUAUCAGCCCCGUGCCCUGGAGAAACAUGCUGACAGCAUCCUGGCACUGGCUUCAGUAUUCUGGUCCAUCUCUUAUUACUCCUCUCCCUUCGCCUUCUUCUACUUGUACAGGAAAGGUUACUUGAGUUUGUCCAAAGUGGUGCCGUUUUCUCACUAUGCUGGGACAUUGCUGCUACUUCUGGCAGGUGUGGCCUGCCUCCGAGGCAUUGGCCGCUGGACCAACCCCCAGUACCGGCAGUUCAUCACCAUCUUGGAAGCAACACAUCGGAACCAGUCUUCAGAAAACAAGAGGCAGCUUGCCAACUACAACUUUGACUUCCGGAGCUGGCCAGUCGACUUCCACUGGGAAGAACCCAGCAGCCGGAAGGAGUCUCGAGGGGGCCCUUCCCGCCGGGGUGUGGCCCUGCUUCGCCCAGAGCCCCUGCACCGGGGGACAGCAGACACCCUCCUCAACCGGGUUAAGAAGCUGCCUUGUCAGAUCACCAGCUACCUGGUGGCGCACACCCUAGGGCGCCGGAUGCUGUAUCCAGGCUCUGUGUACCUGCUGCAGAAGGCCCUCAUGCCUGUGCUGCUGCAGGGCCAGGCCCGACUGGUGGAAGAGUGUAAUGGGCGCCGGGCAAAGCUGCUGGCCUGUGAUGGCAAUGAGAUUGACACCAUGUUUGUGGACCGGCGGGGGACAGCUGAGCCCCAGGGACAGAAGCUGGUGAUCUGCUGUGAGGGGAAUGCUGGGUUUUAUGAGGUGGGCUGCGUCUCCACGCCCCUGGAAGCUGGAUAUUCAGUCCUGGGCUGGAAUCAUCCAGGCUUUGCUGGAAGCACGGGGGUGCCAUUCCCGCAGAAUGAGGCUAAUGCCAUGGAUGUGGUGGUCCAGUUUGCCAUCCACCGCCUGGGCUUCCAGCCCCAGGACAUCAUCAUCUACGCCUGGUCCAUCGGCGGCUUCACUGCCACGUGGGCAGCCAUGUCCUACCCAGAUGUUAGUGCCAUGAUCCUGGAUGCCUCCUUUGAUGACCUGGUGCCCUUGGCCUUGAAGGUCAUGCCAGACAGCUGGAGGGGCCUGGUGACCAGGACCGUGAGGCAGCAUCUCAAUCUAAACAACGCGGAGCAGCUGUGCAGAUACCAGGGUCCUGUACUGCUGAUCCGGAGAACCAAGGAUGAGAUCAUCACCACCACGGUUCCUGAGGACAUCAUGUCCAACCGAGGCAAUGACCUCCUGCUGAAGCUCCUGCAGCAUCGGUAUCCCCGGGUGAUGGCAGAGGAGGGUCUUCGAGUGGUGAGGCAGUGGUUGGAGGCCUCCUCACAGCUGGAGGAAGCCUCAAUUUAUAGCCGAUGGGAGGUGGAAGAGGACUGGUGUCUGUCUGUCCUCCGCUCCUACCAGGCAGAACACGGGCCCGACUUCCCCUGGAGCGUGGGGGAGGACAUGAGUGCAGAUGGACGGCGGCAGCUGGCUUUGUUUCUGGCUCGGAAGCAUCUGCACAACUUUGAGGCCACUCACUGCACCCCACUCCCAGCCCAGAACUUCCAGAUGCCCUGGCACCUCUAGGGACCAACUGGGACUCAUUAUGGAAGAAUGGGGUGAGAGGAGACAUGAGGAAAGACCCUCUUAUUUGUGAUUCUCUGUGUUCAUGUUGCUGUUUAUAGUUUGUGGAAAGUGGGGGACCAUCCCCCUUCUCACCACUGUUCCUCUUGCACGUUUCCCCUCAUUCAUGUGGCUGUACUUAACCUUCUCCAACAUACAUCCUGCAUUACAUGAAUGGAUUAUUCCUAAUAAUUAAUAAAAAGGUAUUUUUUCUACUAUCA